AUUGAACGCUGGCGGCAUGCCUUACACAUGCAAGUCGAACGGUAACAGGUCUUCUGCUUCUUCUUACUGGCGAACGGUUGCGUAAUACAUCGGAACGUACCCAGACGUACGUUUUAGUGAGGCGAAAGGUUUGCUAAUAUCCCAUACUAUCUCAUGCUGCCUGCAGGUGUCCGCAGGGCCUCUUGCGUCUUUGCCCGCUGAUGUCAGACUAUGUAGUUGGUGGGAUAAAAGCUUACCAAGCCGACGAUCUGUAGCUGGUCUGAGAGGAUGACCAGCCACACUGGAACUGAGACACGGCCCAGACUCCUACGGGAGGCAGCAGUGGGGAAUAUUGGACAAUGGGCGAAAGCCUGAUCCAGCAAUGCCGCGUGGAGGAAGAAGGCCUUCGGGUUGUAAAGUGCUUUUGUAGGGAACGAAAAGCAUCAGGCUAAUACCUGGCGGACAUGACGGUACCGUAAGAAUAAGCACCGGCUAACUACGUG
This 482-nucleotide ribosomal RNA is filed under the name uncultured bacterium. Its description in RNAcentral is "partial 16S ribosomal RNA". It matches the Rfam family "Bacterial small subunit ribosomal RNA", at positions 30 to 507 of the family's 1533-position model. The record is from RNAcentral.